RNAcentral lists this ribosomal RNA (494 nucleotides) under uncultured bacterium. Its description in RNAcentral is "partial 16S ribosomal RNA". It matches the Rfam family "Bacterial small subunit ribosomal RNA", at positions 28 to 523 of the family's 1533-position model. The record is from RNAcentral.
GAUGAACGCUAGCGGCAGGCCUAACACAUGCAAGUCGAGGGGUAGAACACUUCGGUGUUUGAGACCGGCGCACGGGUGCGUAACGCGUAUGCAAUCUACCUUAUACAGGGGAAUAGCCCAGAGAAAUUUGGAUUAAUGCCCCAUAGCAUUACGACUUGGCAUCAAGAUGUAAUUAAAGUUCCAACGGUAUAAGAUGAGCAUGCGUACCAUUAGUUAGUUGGUAAGGUAACGGCUUACCAAGACGAUGAUGGGUAGGGGUCCUGAGAGGGAGAUCCCCCACACUGGUACUGAGACACGGACCAGACUCCUGCGGGAGGCAGCAGUGAGGAAUAUUGGUCAAUGGUCGCAAGACUGAACCAGCCAUGCCGCGUGCAGGAAGACGGUCCUAUGGAUUGUAAACUGCUUUUAUACAGGAAGAAACCCUCCCACGUGUGGGAGCUUGACGGUACUGUAGGAAUAAGGAUCGGCUAACUCCGUGCCAGCCGCCGCGGUAA